This 120-nucleotide ribosomal RNA is filed under the name uncultured bacterium. RNAcentral's name for it is "partial 16S ribosomal RNA". It matches the Rfam family "Bacterial small subunit ribosomal RNA", at positions 29 to 155 of the family's 1533-position model. The record is from RNAcentral.
AACGAACGUUGGCGGCGUGGAUUAGGCAUGCAAGUCGGGGGAAUCCCAGCAAUGGGGGAACCGGCGUAAGGGGCAGUAAUGUGUGGGUACCUACCUUUGGGUUCGGGAUAGCCAUCAGAG